GCCAAAUCCUUGACCACUGCAGCCUAAUGCGAUUCAUGUUGUAAUAGGAUAUCUCCACUAUCUUCUGCAGACUGAACAUGCGUGGAUGGUGUGGGGAAGCCAGCUCAUCCAUAGAGACAGCACACAGCCAUCGGACGAAGUCAACUAUUGCGUUUCCAUCCAGCCUAGUUGAUCCUGUAAAUAUCCUGUCUACUGCUACCACUACACUCUGGGAACUGGUCUCUCCCACUGACUCUUGAAUGCUCGCCAUAUGCCGUUUAUCAGCACCACUUCCAACAAGAUUACCUAAUCCGAGGCCCAUAAACUCUUCCCCUCCAGAUGCA
Molecule: long non-coding RNA, 323 nt
Filed under: Gallus gallus (chicken)
Lineage: Eukaryota; Metazoa; Chordata; Aves; Galliformes; Phasianidae
Source: RNAcentral